RNAcentral lists this ribosomal RNA (363 nucleotides) under Triticum aestivum (bread wheat). RNAcentral describes it as "partial small subunit ribosomal RNA". Lineage: Eukaryota; Viridiplantae; Streptophyta; Magnoliopsida; Poales; Poaceae. The record is from RNAcentral.
AUGUUUCCUGACCGGCGAGCUUGGGAUCAUCGGAAGGGAGCAGCUCCCUGCAGGCCGCCUCCCACCUGCUUCUGCUCAGCUCCGCCUUCCGGGAUGAGAACAUGUAAGCCAUCAAUCAGGCGCAGGGAAGCCCAAGAGAAAACCCUAAGAGGAAGAGGACAGGAACGGUCCGAUGAAUCACACCUGGUGGAGGCGGGCGUCCCAGAACUCGUGCUGGAUCCUGUUGCGCGCCUCCAGCCGCGCGCGGCCGGCGGCGAGCGCCUCGACCCGGUCGUAGAUGCGCUGCCACUCGGCCCGCCCGCCGUCCCCCGCGUCGUCGCCGCCGCCGCCGCUGCUCAUCGAUUCGGACGGCGUGGGUGCUGA